UACGUAGGCAGCAAGCGUUGUUCGGAGUUACUGGGCGUAAAGGGUGCGUAGGCGGCGCGGUAAGUCGGGUGUGAAAUCUCGGAGCUUAACUCCGAAACUGCAUUCGAUACUGCCGUGCUUGAGGACUGGAGAGGAGACUGGAAUUUACGGUGUAGCGGUGAAAUGCGUAGAUAUCGUAAGGAAGACCAGUGGCGAAGGCGGGUCUCUGGACAGUUCCUGACACUGAGGCACGAAGGCCAGGGGAGCAAACGGG
This 253-nucleotide ribosomal RNA is filed under the name uncultured bacterium. RNAcentral's name for it is "partial 16S ribosomal RNA". It matches the Rfam family "Bacterial small subunit ribosomal RNA", at positions 524 to 776 of the family's 1533-position model. The record is from RNAcentral.